RNAcentral lists this unclassified non-coding RNA (151 nucleotides) under uncultured Lecanoromycetes. RNAcentral describes it as "sequence contains ITS2". Lineage: Eukaryota; Fungi; Ascomycota; Lecanoromycetes. The record is from RNAcentral.
CUAACUCAAGCUCUUUGCUUGGUGUUGGGUGCCGUCCUCCGGGACGCACCUGGAAAUCAGCGGCGAUGCGGCCGGCGACCAGGCGUAGUAAACCACUUCCGCUUAGGUUCCCCGGGCGCGUUCGCCGGACAACCCUCCAUUUUUUAACUAU